GUUCCAGUGGUUCAAUGGAUAAGGCACUGGCCUUCAAAGCCAGGGAUUGUAGGUUUAAGUUCUGCCUAGGGUG
RNAcentral lists this transfer RNA (73 nucleotides) under Alligator mississippiensis (American alligator). It matches the Rfam family "tRNA". Rfam says of the family: Transfer RNA (tRNA) molecules are approximately 80 nucleotides in length. Their secondary structure includes four short double-helical elements and three loops (D, anti-codon, and T loops). Lineage: Eukaryota; Metazoa; Chordata; Crocodylia; Alligatoridae. The record is from Rfam by way of RNAcentral.